RNAcentral lists this ribosomal RNA (492 nucleotides) under uncultured bacterium. RNAcentral's name for it is "partial 16S ribosomal RNA". It matches the Rfam family "Bacterial small subunit ribosomal RNA", at positions 29 to 507 of the family's 1533-position model. The record is from RNAcentral.
AGUGAACGCUGGCGGUAGGCCUAACACAUGCAAGUCGAACGGCAGCACAGUAAGAGGUUGCUCUUACGGGUGGCGAGUGGCGGACGGGUGAGGAAUACAUCUGAAUCUACUUUUUCGUGGGGGAUAACGUAGGGAAACUUACGCUAAUACCGCAUACGACCUACGGGUGAAAGCAGGGGAUCUUCGGACCUUGCGCGAUUGAAUGAGCCGAUGUCGGAUUAGCUAGUUGGCGGGGUAAAGGCCCACCAAGGCGACGAUCCGUAGCUGGUCUGAGAGGAUGAUCAGCCACACUGGAACUGAGACACGGUCCAGACUCCUACGGGAGGCAGCAGUGGGGAAUAUUGGACAAUGGGCGCAAGCCUGAUCCAGCCAUACCGCGUGGGUGAAGAAGGCCUUCGGGUUGUAAAGCCCUUUUGUUGGGAAAGAAAAGCAGCAGGUUAAUACCCCGCUGUUCUGACGGUACCCAAAGAAUAAGCACCGGCUAACUUCGUG